GUCGUAGAGUAGAACAUUCGAUAAUAUUAUAUCAAUACAGAGAAGAUUAGAAUGGCCCAUCUGCAAGGAUGACACAUAAACUGAGAAGUAAUCUAAUUUUGU
This is a small nuclear RNA of Malus domestica (apple), 102 nucleotides long. The record is from RefSeq and is a predicted model, not a curated record. NCBI's taxonomy places the organism in Eukaryota, Viridiplantae, Streptophyta, Magnoliopsida, Rosales, Rosaceae.